Molecule: long non-coding RNA, 32956 nt
Filed under: Ananas comosus (pineapple)
Lineage: Eukaryota; Viridiplantae; Streptophyta; Magnoliopsida; Poales; Bromeliaceae
Description: long non-coding RNA (ACOM_LNC000116)
Source: RNAcentral
UAUAAAAAAAAAAGUAUAUAUAAUUUGUCAUUUUUUAAAAAACAAAUUUUAUCCGCAAAAUAAAAUAAAAUUUUUUAAACAAAGAUUUUAUUUUUGACAAUUGAAAUUUUGGCUGAAUACGGUGCACAUAACUGCAGUAACAAAUUACUUUGUUGCUUUUUGUGUGUGAUAGUACGUCAUGUGAAUCGGACUGUUCUGAACCAUUCUAUUCUAUAUUAAGUCAAUUUUUUAGAUAGUAUAGUUUAGCCAGUUCCAAACUUUCUUUCUUUCAAAAAAUUUUAUUAUUUUAUGGUAUGCCUAUUAACUAAUUCACUGUCUCUUUCAUUAUAUAAGCACGUAACACAAUUUAUCUAGCAUUUAUUGUGUACGUGAGUGAGUGUGUUAAAACUAAUCAUAGAUCAUAUUUUACUAGAUCAAAUUUUCAGUAAUACCCAACAGUAUUAAACAUAUAUAAUAGUAUCAGACAUACCUCAAUAGCAGGCAAAUAAGCUGUGUUUUAACAAAUUUUUUUACCAGUAAAAUAACUUUGUAUAUAUGUUUAAAUUAUCUUUUGCUUUGCAGUAGAGAAGCUGUUCGAGAAACCCAAACAUGCUUAAAAGCAAACUGCAUGCCGUGGGGAAGUGGAAAUAGCAUCCCCAUGGGAUCGUCCAAUUCCCAUAUCCUUUCCUUUCCCUGACCAAAUUUACAUGCCCAGGUUUUUUUCUCCAAAAACUGGAGAAUCUGAUUCCUUCUUGUUUUCUCCCUUCUCAUAUUCCUUUCCCCCACCUCUCAAAUUUCAAUCCCUUUACAUAUAUAUAUACACCUAAGAGGCACGGAAAAAUUAAAAAGGAAAGCAAAAGAGAAGCAUCUUUUUAUUUGCUAUCAUUCAAACAUUCGCGGCGAAAGCGCGAUGGGAUGUCGAGCUUAUUGUAGUCUAGUUCUGCUUGGUCUCGCGGUGGGGGUUCUGCUGUCGACGGCGCAGGCGCAGGCGCAGGCGCAGGCGCAGGCGCAGGCGAUGGGGAUAAACUGGGGGACGCGGGCGACGCACCCAUUGCCGCCAGAUAUCACGGUGCGGCUGCUGCAAGACAACGGGUUCGCGAAGGUGAAGCUGUUCGAGGCCGACGACCUGGCGCUGCGCGCGCUCGGCAGGUCUGGAAUUCAAGUCAUGCUCGGCAUCCCCAACGAGUACCUCGUGCCGCUUGCCAGUAGCGUCCGCGUCGCCGAGCAGUGGGUCAUGCAGAACGUCUCCUACUACAUCUCUAAGUUCGGCGUCGACAUCAGGUCAGUAGUAAAGUGCUACACUUCAUUCAACCAAAUAAGAUAUACAUAAUUAUAUAUUAGUUAUGUAAACUUAUCUAUUUUUGACAAAAUGCAAGUUAUGUCCAAUCAAGUCAUUCAAAUUUUCUUUUAAAGCGCGGGGCCUACGUAUAGAUGAAUAUAUAAUAAUGAAUAUAUAAUAAUAAAAUUCAAACUUUUGAUGUUACAUGAUUUUUCCAUCAAAUAAUAAGAUUUUAAAAUAAUGCAUACAUAAGGGCCCAUCUUAAGUCCCUUCAAUUUGUGGCCUUAACCUAUUUUAUUAUUUUGGAUAGUCGAAUUGUUUAUUAUUUUUUUAUACUUAAAAAAGUCCCUCUUUUUUUUUUCAAAAGUUAAAACAAAAAGUUUCCAUUUCCCAGAAAGUUGUUCCAGAUCACAAAGGGGAAAGCAUGCUAACCCACUGAAAAUAUGCAUGCAUGUGCGGUGCAUUACAAACAAACUUUUUUUUUUUUUCUUUUUUUUUAAUACCGACUGUUUCUAGAGCAAGUGAUAAAAGAUUUUAUGGUUGAUAUUCGAGGUCCUAAAUUCAAAUCCUUAUUGAUUCACAUUUCUAACUAAGUUUAUCUCUUUUGACAUUACAAUACAUGACUAAUUUUGUAUGGAAAUGUCAUUUACUUAGACAUUACGGCAUGUAACAUCUUUUGUGGUAGCUCGCAACCUAAAGAUUAAUAGAAAAAUUGAGAUGUUAUAAUUUAAGAAAACAGAGGCUCAGUUUUGUCUGUGUAUGUUAUGUAAGGUACGUAGCCGUGGGCAACGAGCCGUUUCUGAAGACGUACAAGAGUCUCUACCAGCAAACAACUUUUCCGGCCCUGCAGAACAUCCAGGCCGCGCUGAUUAAAGCAGGUCUAGGGCGGCAGGUGCACGCGACCGUCCCGCUGAACGCCGACGUCUAUGAGACGUCGACCGGGGUGCCCUCGGGGGGCGACUUCCGGGCCGACAUCCGCGACCUGAUGAUCAGCAUCGUCGGAUUCCUGCAGAACAACGGCGCCCCGGUCGCCAUCAACAUCUACCCGUUCCUGAGCCUCUACGCCGACCCGCACUUCCCCAUCGACUACGCCUUCUUCGGCGGGGGCGCGGCGCCGGUGGUCGACGGGAGUGUGACCUACACCAACGUGUUUGAGGCAAACUAUGACACGUUGAUAUGGGCUCUGGAGAAGAACGGGUUCGGGUCCAUGAACGUUAUUGUGGGGGAGAUUGGGUGGCCUACGGAUGGGGACCCGAAUGCCAAUUUGGAGUAUGCUGGCAGGUUCAACCAGGGCCUCAUCGACCGGAUCACACGAGGUGAGCAUUGGUGUUUUCGGCUCUCAAAAAAUUCAAAAUCAAACGCACAAGGCGCUCUUAUCGUCCAUCUUAGGCCGCUCAAUUGAGCUUUAACGGUCAAAUAUUUUGAUUCAACUUUCGAUCAUUGCGCAAGUUUCGAUUUUUUUUUUUCUAUUUAUCAAAUACUCUGCUGGAGAUAACGAAUUUAGUGGGGCGCUGAACAUUUACUGAGUGGUUUUUUGUCACUCCAGGCAUGGGCACGCCGAAGCGGCCGACGCCGCCGGAGAUCUACAUCUUCGCGCUGAUCGACGAGGACGCAAAGAGCAUCCAGCCGGGCAACUUUGAGCGGCACUGGGGCCUCUUGUACUACGACGGCACGGUCAAGUACCCGCUUACGUUGGAAAAUGGCCAGAACUUAACCGGCGCAGUGGGCGUAAAGUACUUGGACCGGCAGUGGUGCGUCCUGGCGCCGGAGGCCAGCAUUGCAGACCCUAACAUCCCAGGAGCCGUCGACUACGCAUGCCAGUACAGCGACUGCACCAGCCUCAGCUACGGCUCGUCGUGCAGCGGGCUCGACGCGCGGAGCAACGUAUCGUACGCGUUCAACCAGUUCUACCAGACAGCGAACCAGCAGAAGGGGGCCUGCAUGUUUUCGAACCUGUCAGUGAUCACGCAGACCGAUCCGUCGCAAGGGACCUGCAGGUUUGAGAUCAUGAUCGACACGGGGAGGCACGAGCUGACUUCGAACACCGACAGGGCCGUCGCGAGGGCGUCGGCCGUGGUUGGGAUUUGGAGUGUGCUAGCAGCAGUCGGUUUGGCGGCGAUAAACCUAUAAAACAGUGCAUCUGAACAUCUCAUGCAUCUCAUCUUCGGAAAAGAUAGAAGUUUAAGAUGGAAUGGAUGUUUAUACACCAGAUGCGCACAACAGUUUCCCAAAGAAAGUAGGGUGCAUUCUAAAAAACAAACUUUUACGCACGAAAAAGAUUGAACUUAGGAUUAAAAAUUAAGAUGAGAUGAAAAGAACGCGGCAGACAAAAUCUCAGUCCAUAGCAUCUCCUUGUAGGGCAAGAGGCCCCUUGUGGAAGGGAGCAGAGAUUGUUGAGAUAUGCUCUUAUCUCAGGAAACUAUUGCCCAGGAGAUGCCUGAAAUUAAUCCACUCUGAAAUUACUUGCAAUUUAGAUUUAAGAUAAGAGUGAUUCUUUUAAACUCUUACAUUCUGAUUCAUUAAGUAAUUAUGUAUUUGAUUAGAAUAAGCCAACUAACAGUUGGCAUUUUCUUCGGUUAGAGUUUCACAACACUCUUCCAGUACAUAGUAUUACACUGUAAAACAAAUUGAUUCAUGAUAUAUUUUGUGCAUAUUGCUUACUUUAUCCAGUUCUCUGUUUAAUUUAUCUUUAUCCACCACAACUUCUCUAUGCAAUGAAUUAGUUUUAGCAACUGGUCAAAUUACUCUCAAAAAAAAAAAAAAAAAAAAAAAAAAAAACACAGCAACAACUAUAAUAGAAACUCUAGAUGAGUCACCUUGUUAUUUUGAGUGUUACUGUUACCUCUCACUGGAUCAACAAAAUUUGCUCAAAUAACAUUUAUACAAAAUAGGCUAUAGGUUAUCACCACGCCAAAGUAUGCAAAGUUGCAAGGAAAAGGAAAAAAAUAAUGGAAUUAUGAUACUUAUGAUACAGCCGUAAUCGCAAGCAUAACACCCGCAAAAUAUGUACUAAGGAAACAAUAUAUAUAUAUAUAUAUAUAUAAUCACCCGAUUAAACGAGGAGAAGCUAACCGACAAAUACACAGCUUAGAACGUAUAGUCUGGCGUAUCGGUCUCAUCCGAUCGCCAGGGAGAGCCUUGCCCAUCUCCUCCGACCAUCCGCUUACUCAUGUUGGCCCUUUGCACCAGGCGAACUAAUGCUUGCACGACUUCCGACAUGGGCGGCCUAAAUUCUGGCUCGGGCUGCCGUAAUAAAUGUCGGGGUUAUGAAGUUGAAUUUACGUUUUUUUUCAUCUCUUUUGUACGAUGGUGAAUCUAGACUGAACUCUUAUUGUGUUUCCAAACUAUGAAACUGAAAGUAUUAUAAGUUCAGAUGUGCAACAUACCUGAACACACAGAGCAAUAACAUCUGCGAACCUAGAGAGAGAUUUCGCCGGGUAUAACCCCUGAAGGGCCGGAUCAACCAUCCGGUCUAAAGCAUCGAUGUCGUGCAGCUGGGGAGUAGCCCACCGAACCAACGACUGCUCAGAUCGCGGUCUAGAGCUGCCGCAGUUUGUCAGAACAGACAGCAUUUCAGUAGAUCGAAUUUUAGGUCGAGGAAAUUACAGAUCAAAUUUGAAUUAACUUUUAUAAUCUUAAUUUUCAUGAUCUAGAAGAGUGCUGAAAUGAAGAAUCACCCGUCGAAAGGCUUCCGCCCAGUCAAGAGCUCCAGCAUGACCACUCCGAAGCUGUAAAUGUCGCUCUUGAGACUAUACUGGCCGGACAUGGAAACCUCCGGAGCAGUGUAUCCGGAGUUCUCAUCUGAUGCCUAUAGAAGUCAUUUUUCAAGUAUGUUAGAUCUACCUUUUUCAAUUUUGGUAUGGAGUAAAAAUACAUUAGGUUGCAUCUUCAUACCUGGAAUUCUGGGUUUGGAACAAGGCUCGCAAGCCCAGAAUCUGAAACGUGAGGGUUGAGCUCCAUGUCCAAUAAAAUGUUUGAUGACUUGAAAUGUUUAUGGAUGAUAGACGGCGAGCAUACUUCAUGCAGAUACCUGGAAAUAAAAUUUGUACAGACAAAAUGAUCAAGGUAUUAUUCAACGUCAAUAGGCCCACAAAUUUGACUACAAAGAGAAUAGGCAUCAUCUUGUAUAGAUUAAACGAAAACUAUAGCGAAGGGGGAAAAAGAAAGAAGAAGAGAUAACAAGUUGCCCUCGAUUAUUGGAAACACCACUAUCCUUUAGCAGUUCAUAUAAAAGAAAUAUUGCAUUGCACUAUUUCUCAGUUAUCUACUACAAAACAAAAUUACCGAGUGGCUGCUCGGCACGGAUGAAGCAAAGCUGCGGCAAAAGACAGAAGCUUCAAAUGAUAUUUGGAGCUAAGAAGCUCAUUCAACUCUCUACCACAGUAAAAUAUAUAGAUUUCUUGUUUGCCAAGAGUCUAAUUACUGCUUUGAAAAGUAGAAUAACUACUCCAAAAGCUAGGCCAAACAUGCACAGAUCUCCAAAGAAUAAUUAAAAAUAAAAUAAAAAUGAUAUUCUGUCUAUUUGACUUACUCUAGCGCCCGUGCAGAGCCCAGUGCGAUCUUGACGCGCUGAUUCCAUGACAGUGGCUUGUUGUAGUCAUCGGGGAGGCGAAGGAAAUCAUGCAGUGAGCCGUUUCCGUGGAACUCAUAGACCAGCAAGUGCUGCCCGUGUUCAUUACAGUAGCCAACCAGCUCGGAUAGAUUCAGAUGAUGCAAGCAUGAGAUGUUUGAGACCAACUCAAUGAAGUCGCCAGAUGACAAAUUGGGAAGAGCAUUAAAGUUUAUUUUCUUCACAGCCAGAACCUAUAACAAAUAGACAAAUUUAGAGUUUGCUCUGUUCAAUGUUUGUCAAUGAAUGAAGAUUGGAUAGUGAAAAGAGCCACGCUUAAUUAAAAAUAUCAUGCAUUUAAACUAUCUAACUGAAAGAUAAAAAAUUUACUUCAACUGCGAAAUAUGAAUGAUAAUUUGCUUUUUUCAGACGUAGAAAUAUUGAAACAUUAUCCCUUUUCUUACAUUCAACAAAGUCGUGCUCUUUACGCACGGAGAAUGAACCUCCUGUAAUAUGCUAUUUACGACAAAGCGACCAAGAUCAAAGUAUCGUUGGUUCGACAAAGAAAAGAAUACUAAUUUUUAAGCACUAGAUACUAACUAAACUUCUUUAGAUACUGGAACAGCAGGGAGGAGAUUAAUUCCAAGACCAAUAGAGAAGCAAACCUUUUCAUCGUCAAAUUCAGCUCUAUAAACACGCCCAAAGGACCCUUCUCCAACAAGAUUGUCCACGCUGAAGCUGUUGGUUGCCAUUUGCAAAUCAGCUAUGGAAUACACCGUUGCUUUUAUGGGAGCCAAAUCAGUUUUCUUUGCAACAGGCUUGUUUGAGGUGUCAUUUUCAUCAAAUGACUUGUGGAUUUUAGGAGGAGGUUUAAGGCUGAUCGGAGCAGCUGGAGGCAAUGCUGAAUUGUCGAGUAUGGAAACGGUCUGCGUCAAUUUCAUCUCUGCAGCAUAACAGUAACACGAAAGUGAUAAAUAACGUAUAUUGAAUCUAUACAACUAAGAAUAGCAAGCAAAAUGUUAGAAAGGUGGGAAAAUGGUGCAUUAUUAGUGCAAAUGUGAAGAAAGAAAAUCACACGACUCUUCAGAAGUGGGAGUACGAGUUUCUGCAUCGGCGUAAAAUUACCUUUUUCUCCAUUUGAAGCAAAAGGCGCAAAAGGGGCAAAAGGCUGUUUCUGCUCGGGAUUCUGUUCCCCUUUCCAACUUUUCUUCUUAACCAAGAAGAACGCAACUAUUCCACCUACGGCCAAUACGGAUAUGAUAAUUCCAGCUAUGCCCCCACCACCUAUACCAGAACUUCCACCACCACCACUUCCCCCGCCGCUUGAUGGGUUGUUACCACUAUUGGAGUUCUGACCCGGGUUUACUUUUCGACCCGGCGGAGGAGGCGUAUAUGGUGGAGGUGGAGGCGCAGGGCCAGAGCUCCAGGAAUUACCACCGGUCCUAUGAAAGAGAAUUAUACAUAUGAGAUGUAAAUAACUAAUAGUAUGCAUGAUCUUAUCAAAAUGGGUAAAUUGCACCAUGGUCCACUGGUCACUAGUUAAACUUAUCAAAGUUCCAUUUAGGUCGCUAAACUCCAAUUUGUUGCUGUUGAGUCACUGAACUUUCAAUUUCUUGAAGAUGAUGAUGAAUCAGUUGCCACGUGAUUGUUAGGGAAAUUAAAUGAAACGUCAUAAUAUGUGGCCAAUUGUGUAGUGUGUUCUAAAAUCAAAGGACUACUCACUGAAGGUUAUUAAUCUUUUGAAGCCGAUCAGGAAUCCAGCCGGUAAAGCGGUUACUUUCAACAUUCCUGCAGGCACGAGGAGACAAAUCAUUUUUACAACACAAAUAGAGUUUCUUUUCCCUUUUGUUAAAAAAUAAAUAGAAACUUACAAAUCUUCAAGGGGAAGAGCAGCAAGGACAUCUAUGGUGCCAGUAAAUUGGUUGUUCUGCACAUAACUGAUGUAGAGAUAUCGAAGGAGUCAAUAUAUUUAUACAUAAACAUAAAUCACUCUUGUGCAUAAUAUCAAUUAUAGACAGCUUAGGGUCGUCCUUACAGAGUAUUCAAACUCGUCAAGGAGCUGAAGCUUUGAGGGAGGUCACCGGUGAGAGAAUUAAAGGAGAGGUCCCUGCAGCAUGAAUUCGUAAUUUUAAAAACAUUAAACAGAAAGGCCCGAUAUGAUGCAAGAGACUGAAAAUUAGCAUUUCGGUAUGUAGACAUUAAUUCUUCAGUGAAAGAAUAUCUCAAGUAAUUCAAUCACCUAGUUUACUAACAAGGAAAUUAUAACAAGGAAAUCGCCCGAGUUUCCAUUUAAGGUAACUAACCAUCCGUAUAGAUCACGAAAAAGCACAUGCUUUUGUAGUCGAACUAAUAAAUGAGAUCGAUCAGAAGAACACUCACAUAGUGGUCAAAUUGGUAAGUUUGUAGAAUAUAUCGGUGAGAUUUCCCUGGAGUUGAUUAUGACCAAGAAUUCUACAUUCAAAACACUCAAGUUAUGUAAUAAACUAUCGAAAGAAAGGGCAAGAGAUAGCAAAAUUGACUUCAUUAAGAAGUCCACUUACAGAUAUUUGAGAGUAACCAUAUAAGAAAUUGAGUAAGGUAGAUUUCCGUUAAAUUGGUUCCCAGCAAGAUUACUGCAGAUAAAAUUCAUCAUAUAAUAUUCACUAUCAAAAAUUUAAAAAAAGAAAAAGAAAAAAGAGUUGAAACCAGAAAAAUCGGCAUAACUUACAAUCUCUCGAGAUUAGGAGGAAGAUUAUAAGGUAUCUGUUGACCACCGCCAAGAUUGUUGUUGCUUAAAUCACUGCGUCAAAAUCAAGAGAUUAAAACCAAUUCUCCAUUAAGUCCCGAAAGUUUGACCCAGAUUCCAAUCAAGUUGUCACGUUUUCACAGUUCAAUCCCGAAAAAGGCACAGGGUCAACAUCCCGAAAGUUUUACGCAGAACAAACUGCAGGGACUGAGUUAUCGAAAUUGAAACUCUGAGAACGUAACUAAAGAAAGACGAGAUCAAACAUAACGGCAUAAAAUGAAACCGAUCAUAAAGCAAAAUUACAAAACAAGAAAGAUCAAACUCACAGCUCAGUGAGCGAAGCCAUGUUAUUCAAAUUGUAGCCUAAAUUCCCGGUAAGUCCCAUUCCAGAUAAUUUACUGGUAGAGUUAUAACAGCAAACAACAAGCAGAAAAAAAAAAAAAAAACAAUCAGAUGGAAUUGAUUCAACUGCAAAUAAGUUACACCGCAAAGCUAGGCUCACAUUGAUUUAACCGAAGAACCGGCGCAGGUAACGCCGAGCCAUGCCUGUCCGCAGGGAUCGCCGCUGUUUGCGGAGGACCAACCCGUAAGCUGUGAGGGUGAAUUGAAGCUUGUGUACAAUACAUUGAGAGCAGAAACUGCAUGCAAAGAAUAAAAAUGGAGAAAAACUCAUUACCAUUGAUUGGGUAGAGUAAAUGAUUGGGCAUCACUUUUUUCCAACUAAUAAAGAAUAUCUAAUGUUUUCAACACAAUUUUGGGUCCAUGAAGAUGGAUUUGUGUCUCUUUUCUUCUUCAUCUGUCAUAGAAAACUAAAAUCAUGAAGAGAAGUUCAUUCCAAUAUUAAGUCUCGAACAGUGUACUUCCUCUUUUUCCUUAAAAAGAUAUGAGCUUUUUCAAGUCCAACAAAAUUCACUUCUACAAUCCAAACAAUUAUUUGCCAAAAAUAGAAAAUGUUCAUUGGAAUACUUGUUAUGAAUUGAAUUAAAACAUCUAAAUUACGAGCGCAACCAAGAAAAAAAAUGAUUUUUAUGCCUAAAAACAAGACAACCCACUUGCUCACCUUCAAAUAGUGAGCUUCAAAACCCCAAAAAGAUAGAAUCAUAAAAAAAAAAAAGGAAAAAAAAAGGAGAAAAGCACAAAGAUACCAAUCAAACAACAACUUUUCUUCUUUGACAGGGGAAAAAAAAGAAAAAAAGAGAGUGAGGGAUUCAACAACGUCAAUACAGAACAUUCCUCUGAAUGCCCCAUGCCCACUCCCUAACUUUCCUACUACAAUCUAGUAAGAGGAAAAUUUAAAAAAAAAAAAGAAAAAGGCCCAAAAAUUAGAAAAAGCUCACGCACCAUCAUUUUGGUCAGUGUUUCCAAAAACAAAGCUUUGAUUCAACACCAAAAUGCAUGCCAAAAUUAGAGCUUUAAUCCCACCCAUCUCUCUCUCUCUCUUUCUCUUCUUUCUCUUUCUCUCUCCUCCUCUUCACCACCCUCUCAUCUUCCCAACCAACGGCCUUCGCCUCUUUCUCUCUCCCUCUCCCUCUCUGUCUGUCUCUCCUCUAAACUGAAUAAAAAAGAAGAAAAAGCUCUGUUUUUUCCUGCUCUCUAGCUUUUAUAUUUCCCCCUACUUUUUUUUUUUGCAUUUUUUUAAGUUGGAAUCUGCAUAAAAAAGCAAGCUGGCACAAGAACCGAGAUGAAUAAUCCAAAAGCGCGGUGGUAAAUUUAAAUUUUCGACGAAUUAUUCGGAUUUUUUUUCUUGUUUUUUCUCUCUUUUUUCGUUUUCGAGGACGAUUAAAAGAGAGCUUUUUUAUUUCACUGAGAGUGAGAGGUGACGUUAAUUGAAAAGGAAAUGGGCGGUAAUGUUACCGGAGGUGACGAGAACUCGUAGGACAGUUGUGGGGCCCACGUGGAACGUUGAACUAGAUUGGGCCAUGGGAUUGUGGGCCCACGGUAUCGGUGUUUUUUUUUUUUUUUUUUUUUUUUUUUCUUUUUUUUUUUUUAUAUAGUGCUCCUAUAAAAUAAAUAAAUAAAUAACCACAUUGUACCAUAGUUACACAGUAAAAUCCAUCACUUUGUGUCUAUUUUUUCUCUUAAAUUUUUUGGGUUAGGAAGCGUUUGGUUAGGUAUAAAAUAAAUCAAAAAAAUAUUUUCGAUAUAAAAAUAUUUUUUUAUUUAUUUUGUUCGACGUAAAAAUAUUUAUCUAUAAGAUUUUUUUUUAUGAAUUUGAAAAAAAAAUAAAAUUUUCUUUUUUUGCUAUUUUCCGGUAAAAAAUUAAAACUCAAACUGUGUAAAAAAAUUCUCAUUCAUAUUUUUAUCUAACCAAACAAUGUGAUUUUUUUUCCAUUCAAUCAAAGAAAUGUUGACGUAAAAUUAUUUUUUUUUCUUACAAACAAAAUACUAGAAAAUAUAACACUUUUUUCUACUGAAAAAUUAUUUUUCACGAUUUUAUUUUGAACAUGUUAAAUAUAAAAAUAUUUAAACACUGCUCUCUACGAAAUUAAGCUUUUAGAAUAUAAUAUGUGUUUUGUAUAAUUUAAUAUGAUAUCAGAGGAAAAAGUCCUAAAUUCGAGUUACGCCAGACUUCUAUCAUUUUAAUAUUCUCUUAUUUAAUUCAAAUUCACGUCAUAAGCAUUGUAAAAAGUCUCAAAUCUAAAUAUAAGAGGGAAUAUUAAAUAUAAAAUAGUUCAAUACCGUUCUUUAUGAACUUAAUUUUUUAAAGUACAAUAAUUAUUUCAUAUUAUUUUUCAGAACCAAACGUACCCUUAAUUGCUCUAUUUUUUUCUAAACCUUAUCUCUAUAUUUCGAAUCUCCUUUUUUUCCUACUAGAUCUUUAAUUUUUAUAGUUAAAUUUUGUUUGAUUUCGAUUAAAUAAUUUUAAUAAAAUAAAUCACAUCAAUUGUAAUACAAUAUUUUUUAUUCAGAUAGACCGUAAUGAUUAUUUCGGCAUCGAUCUUUUCAAGUGUUUAACAAUAUUUUCAAUUACCGAUUAUUCCUAACGCAAGUGGCAAAAAACUUAAUGAUUGGUAUCUGAGGUCCUAAGUUCGAAUUCUAAUUGAUUCAUAUUUCUAACUAAGUUUAUUUUUAAAUAAAAUAAAUAAAGCAGAUAAUAUACUGCCUAUCUCUCUCGAAAAAAAAAAAAAAAAAAAAAAGAAAAAAAAAAGACAAUGUAUCCAGUUUAAACAUAAAAAACACCAAAUUUUUCAAAAAAAAAAACAAAAAACAAAUAUUGCAAUUAACUUUUUUCUUUCACAAACAAAAUAACACCUCAGUUUGGUUGGUAGGGUGGGUGGGUCCCCUACUUGAUGGGAGGUAAAGAAAUUUUGUUUUUUUAUGGUUUAUUUUCUUUUGCUGAUUCCGAGAGCCCAAUAAAUUCGCUGAAUCCAUUACUAUUGUCGGAUGAGAAAGAAUCCAAAUAGUUAAUUAUUUUAAAAAUAUGUGCCGAUUAUAUUUAAGGACCAUAAUUUUCAUAAAUUUCGAUCUGACUCAAUUGAUCUGAAUAUUAGACAUAUAAUUUGAUCUACCACUCAACUUAUUAGACAUAUUUUAAUCUAAUAAUAAAUAGCUAACACCAAGCAACAAUAUUUAUAGCAAACUUCGGUUAUAUCUUUUAAAAACAAAUAUAGUUAAAAGAAUCAAAUACUUAUUCUUUAAAUUUAAAAUUUAAAAUUAUUAAUUAUUAAAUUUUUAGUUAAUUACGUUUCCGUACAGUACACGAUGUUAUUAUUAUUAUUAUGGGUACUGGUCGGUAAGGGGAAUAAAACUUUUUUAGAAAAAAAAAAAUACGUGCACGGUGGGAGCGACCGCACGGACGUAUCAAAACAUUCCGUCGAGUGUGAGAUCAACCGUUCAUUUUUUAUGCGGACACCUGUGUGGACAGAUGGACGGAGGGAUGUUUUUUGCUUUUUUAUUGUUCCUGUGCCGGACUUUACGGCCUAAUUUAGCUUUUUUUAAAAAGGGGUUAGCAGAGCCCCAAUCAAGCUACAAAAAUGAUUAGAGUGGUGGGUCAUCACAAUAAUUUGCUUUUCCUCUCUCUCUCUCUCUCUCUCUCUCUCUCUCUCUCUAUAACAAUUUACAAUUUUAGUUCUAGGGUUCCAAAUCUAUGCAAAUCGAUCACUAGAGCUCCAAUAGUAUACGAAUCGAUCAAAAUCAUGAGUUUACCGACUGUCCCUACUGUUUCAAUGAUACACAAAUCGACCGGACUCGUAAGUUUAUCGGCGAUUCCAAGAGUAAGAGGCACAACAAUUAAUGAUUGGUAUUGUAAGUUCGAAUUCUAAUUAUUUCAUAUUUUUAACUAAAUUUAUUUCUAAAAAAAUAAAUGAAGCCAGUAAAAUACUAUCUUUCUUUUUUAAAAAAAAAAGUUUAUGAGAUUGGCUAAGAACUUGAGAGUCGGUACCGAAUAUUCUAAAUUUAGCUGGAAAUGUAAAUCAAUUAGGAUUCGAACUUGAAAUUUUGGAUACUAAUCACUAAACCCUUUGUCACUUAUGUUAGUGACGAUCGGUUCGAAAUCUAGUUAUUUGUUUUGUAUUUUUAGGUCAAUUUAUUUUAAAAAAUAAACAAAACAGAUAAUGGUGUGUAAUAUUUCUCGCAUGAAAAAAAAGUCAUGAACUAAUGAGCUCAAGCCCUAUUUUUUUUGCCUACUCAAGAGUGAUCCAAUUCUCUCAACCUUAGAGCUCUCCUUAAUUUUGCAAUGCACAAGCAAAGAAUCUAGGCCUUGACAUUAAGGAUAGCUUCCUAAACAACAUUUGUUUGUAUAGCAUACAUGUUUUUUUUUUAUUUUUGCUAUUCUGCCAAUAACAAUAUUACUCGUUAUCGUUACAGUAUUAUAAAGAUUAAUUAUCGUAUUUUAUGAAUAAAAAUUUAUUAUCACCCUAUAUUUAACUCUCUCUUUUUCUUUCCUAUUGCUAUCCCAAUAAUUGGCAUAAAAUUACGAUUUAGUUAUCAUAAAAUUUUUAUCAAAUAAUUUAUUAGUGCGUCUUUUGCUGAGGUGGAUUCGCAAUAGGGGACUUUGAGGGAAAAAUUCUCUGUUGCAAUUCUUUUCACAUAAAAUAUAUAGUAAUACCCACACUCGGCCAUAUAUAUAUUUUCAUAUUAUUAAGCAAAAAGAAAAAAAACUAAUUUUCUGAAGAAAUUAUUAUCUUAUCUUAAGACAAAAUUAGUGCAUUAAUUAAAAUGUGCUCGGCCCCACAUGUCGGACUCAGUGGCGCGAGGUGCUUUCCUCUCCGUUCUACGAAAGAGUUAAGACGUGGCGGGCAUUCUCGCCGUCGGGUGGGCCCCGCAUUGCCGCGUGCCACGUCAUGAGACAGCUGGCGACGGAGGCUGUGCCACUUGGCACGAGUUACCAUCAGUCCGUACGGCCCGUCGGUAGGGAUGCAAUUGGAUGCGGGUUGGUGGAUUCCGUUUCGAUCCGUUUGCAAAUGUACCGGUAAGUAAGAAUAAGAAAUAUAAAAAUAUAUAAUUUAUUCUGAAUUCAUUUCCAUCAACAAAGUAAAAAGAGUGAGAGAUGGAUGAUUUUUUUUUUUUUUGAAAUUCAUUCUAAUUCAUUAAAAAUUUGUCAAAAUUUUGUUUUAGUUUCGAUCCGCUUCGAAUAGGACAGUAAGUAAAAGCUAAAAAUAAAAUAAAAAAUAAUCCGCUCUGAAUCCGUGCUGUCCCAACAAAAAAUAAAGGGAAAGAGGAGAAAAUUCUGACUUCGAAUCAGUUCUGUUUGUUUUCUUACUCGUCGGCAAGCCAAAAAAAAAUAUAUAUAUGUAUAAAUUAGGCAAAUCUCAACUAAUCAUAUUUUUUUAAAAAAAAGUUUUAUUUUAUUUCUAAAAAUUAGUUUAAUUAUAUUUUUUUUACUAAAAAAAAUUAUUUAGUUGAGAAAAUAUAAGUGAAGUGAUGCGUCUAGGUAAUCGAAGACUUCUUCGCCUGCGACGUGACCCCCAUCGUAUAACCAAACAAUUACCUACACCCUGUAUAUCCGUACUAGCUAUGCACCACAAUAAAUUUUUUUAUGAUCCGUACAAUAAAAAAAUCCAACCGAAGCUAUGUAUACUAUCUCAAGUACUUAUUAUUAUAUAUAUUAUAUAUGUAAAGUUUUAAAAUUUAAAAAAUUAUUACUAGAAUAUUAACUAAGUAUAAUAACGAUAUUAUAAAAAAAGAUCUAUUAUAUAUAAGCUUUUUGAAUAUCAUAAGCAAUAUUAAGGUAAAUAUCAUAUAUUUCAAAAUGUAUAUACACCGAAUGCAAACAAAUUAAUAAAUUACUUCUGAUCCGUAUAUCUAAGACUUUAAAAAGAACAGCCUACUACCUAAUAUAUGGACUAGUCAAUCACCUCCAUCCGAUAUACACACUUUGGCAUGUACAGAGCGAAAAAUUCUACACUAUCACACUUACAUCACGUCAUUAAUAACAAGCCAAUCAUAUUUCUUCUUUUCAAAUAAAAAUACAAUAAAAAUACCUUUUAUAAUUAUGAUAGAAAAUAUAUUCCUUAAAGGAGAUUUUUGAUUGAUUUAUUACGCCACAUCUCCAAUACAUCCAUUACAUUUUAAAAUUUUUCGUACUGAGCGCAUUGUUAAAAUUUGAACGGAGAUGAAGCAACCGGUCCGUAGACGAUGUGGUGAACCGUGUCCAGGCAAUCUCCUCUGAAACGGGGGUGGUGAUCAAUAAUGACCUUACCCGAGCACUCAAUCACUCGGGAGGAGUUAGGUAAAUUUUAGCUUCUUUUUUUUUUUUCUACUUUUGUUUCCUUUUCUUUUUGGAAGGAGAGGUGUUGGUUCCAUUACUAACUUAUUUUUAAGAAGUUUCAAACAAUUUUUCACAACUUACAGAUUUUAUUUCUAGACUAUUUCUCUCCAACCAUUUUUUUUUGUAAGUUCUGUAGUAUUGCAACUGAUCCUAACUUAUAGCAAGUUCGAUUUUCUUCAUUUGAUAUAAUAGUAAUUUUUUGUAUCCUACUUUUCUUAGUCAAACAUAUGAAAUAACAUAUAUGUUAGCUCUACCUAAAUUAAUCUUUUUAGGCAAUAGAGAGAGAGAGCUAGAAGGAAAAUUAAUCUAAAUAUACUAUUUAUUUAUUGAAAAAGGGGUUAAAAAAAACAGUGAGAGGUCCCAAAGCAUUCAAAGGAUUUCCCUUUUUAAAUUUGCAAUGCAACCCUACUAUUUGUUGAUUAGAUAUAAUAAUAAACAUGUAACACCUACGCUCUCUUUUUUCACAUUAUUGGAGUGCAUGAUGUGUGCUUUUGCUUCAUUAGUUUACGUCAAAACGACAUUGCUCGCGCAUUUAUUAACAAAACCCGACCUUCCGUCGCCAGCACGUCACAAGAUCCCAGAUGUGUAACAUGUGUUACACAAAUAUAAAGUAGAAAAUUAUAAUAAGUAAAAUAAAAGGCCUUGAGAAUAACACUUACUAUUAUACAAACAAUCAAAAUGGUACAAAUAGGUUACCGCACCUCCAAAAACUUAUAACAGAGAUUUAAAAAUCAAAAUCUGACUCUUGGAUAUACUUAAUGAUAUUUAAAAAAGCCUACUUAUGAUAAAAACAAAAAUAUUGAAUGACAAUACCUUGUAAAUUAAACAUCAAUCAUUUCUUUACGAUUAGUUUUUGGGAUAACUUGAUGCAGUGAUGGAUUUACAAAACUUAAAUUUUUUUAAUAUACAGGCUCUGUAGACAUGACAUAUUACAUCAAUUUGAUUAGAUUAUAAUUUUAAAAUAAUUAUCGUCUGAAAAUUAGAAGCAGUGUAUGAGGCGUAUGGAUAAACUGCAUACAUGUAACAAUUUCUGGAAACAAGAUUCUGAACAGUAAAUAAUUUCUCGUGAAAAAUAGUUGAAAACUACGUGACAUAAUGAAUGAGAUUAGGAGAAAAAUUAAUGGGUUUGAGGACACCCUCUCUAUAGUUUCACAUCUCAAUCAACUGAUCCAUCUCUGUGGACUCAGCACUAUGAUUAGAUUAAUGAAUGUGGGGUGCCAACAAGCAAGCGUGUACCUUCGUUAGAAGUUACAGCAACAAUUUGAAACCACCAGAACGAUUGGAUACAUGACGUAUAACCAACUUGACUAACUAGUUUAAGUUAGGUAUCUAACUAAUUGUUCACGUAUUCCUAACAAUGGCUAAUCAAUGAGUUUAAUCUACAAAUAGUGCAAAUAAAAAAAAAAUGAAAACAACAAUAACAUAUAUAACAAACAGGUAGGAAUGUUGUAUUAUUAUGAACAUAAACAAGAAUAAAAUGAAACGUAAGAGUGAUACCAAAUUUUGGUGGGUAAGAGAUUUCCUAAUAGAAAUAUAAGGUGGGUACUUCACAUUAUUUCAAUUUGUUGACGAACCUCGCACAAAAAGUUUGUUCAUUCAACGAAUCAGAUGUAUAGCCCUAAUCAGAGUGGACGUCGUUACCUAAAAGAUAGAUUUUAUAUGCAAUAAACAGGGAAUACUCUAAACUACCCAGGCCACUGACAUGUUGGAGAUCAACCCUAAGAAGGGAACUCUGAGAAUUUACAACUAAUUCUAAUACCAACUUAGAAAAUUGAUCUUAUAAAAAAUGAUCCAAAAUAUUUUUACCAGAUAUAUAGAACGAGGCCAAAAGAGAAACAUUCUACUCUUCAGCUGCAUAGACUAAAUGCCGUCGGCAAAAUUAAAAAAAAUAAUAAUAAAACCAUAAGCUUAAGAGUACAAAACGAUAAUGAUACAGGCAAUAAGAUCAUUUAUGGCAAAUUUUCUUGUUCCCCAGCCUACUGGUGGCUGAGAAGGUUGGUUUCACAACUACUUUUAAGAGAAUCUGCUCCCUUUUAUUGUAUAAUAAAAUAAAAUGUGACAAGCCACUAAGAAAAGGACACUGUUUCUACUGUUUGCUGUUCGUCCACAUAAAAGCAUCCUUUUUCACCAUUAUUCUGCUGGUGCGCCAAAUUACCUCUUAACAACUAUCAAAGAUAGAGUUAGGUAAACAAUCAAGCAAGGGGCUCUAGAAACUACUCCUUGAAUUUGAAGUAAUUGACUCAAACAUUCUGAACCCUUUUGAUCUAACAAAACUCGUUCCGUUUCUUUGGAAAGUUGCUCAAAUAAUUGACAACUAAAAGCUGCUUGAGAAUCAAUACUGUCACGAUUUGACUUGUUAGUAUUAAUUACUCAUUGAACCUAAACCACGGACGCCCACUAGCACUAAUAAUUUGUUGAACCCUAAACCACCGACCCAAAAUACUUAACUCAGUAAUUAUUAUUAGAGUAAGCCCAACUAUUAUUACUAGAACUCUGAUCCCUUAUAUUGUCAAUCAUAAUCCACUUUCCAUCACUAUUCCAUCUAACACUUCCGGAUGGCAAAUUUUGCUCUAAUACCAACUAUACUGAUCCGACCCGCUAGCACUAAUAACUUAGACCCUAAAUGAUCGGACACACAAUGUUUAAGCCUAGUUAUUGUUACUAGAAUCUUUGAUCCCUUAUACUCUUAUAUUUUUCAAUUAUAUUUUUUUUUCAUACGAUGCAAGAUUAUUGGGGCGUUACGAGUACAACCUUUGCAAUAAAAAGUUUUACGACCUACUACAAAGAAACUUCAUAAUACCAGCCUAUCAAAUAGAUUUGAAAAUGUCACAAGUGAAGCUCCAAUGUAGAACUAUGGUCAUGUAGAUAUGUCCAUAACAACAUAGCAGUAUUAUGAAGUCAAAAGAUGGGCAGAAAGAAUACUCACAUGUGUUAGUCAUUGGUAUUUGGUAGUAUAUACAAGCCGACCUUAGUUGAACAGAAACCUCAGAAAUGGUUCUCACACCUACUCAGGUAGGUUCAAUCCACUUCCCCAGCCUGAAAAUAGUAAUAAUGAAAUCAAACUUUAGGGAUAAGGAAUAAACCAUAAAUAAAUCCAAGCAACCUAUUCAUAAACAGAAGUCAUGCUUUCUGUAGGGAUCUGGCACCAACUGGAUAGGGAGAUCAAAUUAAAUUAACAAAACAAUGAGUGAAUUAGUGUAUUUGUCACCUGCUUCGCCAGAGCUACUAUGGCUAACAGCAGAAGCCUCGGAAGGUGGGCCAUCUGUUUCUUGAUUGUUUGUUGGAUCAGCAUGCAGGGUGGGCAUGGCACUCAAGGUAAUGGGUCUCAUUGCCAGGUUCGGAGGGAGAACCGGCUGUUGGUGAUGCUGCUGCUGCUGGAGCAGCAGCAGCUGCUGCAGCCGCAACUGCUGCUGUUCUUGUAUUUGUCGUAGAUUAAACUGGAAAGGAUCCACAGGAGGAAAAAUAGGUGCCUGUUGCAUGUAGUGCUGUACCUGAGGCAUUACCUCAUGUGGCAUCAUCUGUUAAUAAAAAGGAUAUGAUUACAUGAGCUGAUAUAGAAAAUAAGUUUAAUUAUUCGCCGUGAGAUCGUUCAUAUAGUAACCUGAGUAGUAACAGAAGGGGUUUGUGGUUGGGCAUCGGCGAUCUUAACCAAAAACAUCAGAUUCUUUUGAAGCUGGUCUUCGUACCUGACAUUAGUAAAGCCAUAAUAUUAUCACAUGCAGACAUUUACUUGCGUGUGCACGCGCGUGUGCAUCGCACUUGUGUGUUUUGGCCGGAAUGUAAGAAAUUAUGCAAUGAAUUUCAUGAUUUCUCUGUACCCUGAAUUUUGAGAACCUAUGUUUCACCCCAUCGACCGGCGAGCAAAUUGAUGAACUGUCUUAGUUUAAGGGGUAAUACAUGUUUUAAUACUACACGGGACAAAGUAGAAAACCACAAUAUUUGUAGGAUGUUUCCAGCAAUGUAGAGCUUUUUACUUUGAAGUCAUAAUUAUUAGUGCAUACAUUCAUUUAGGUCAUCAGAUCAAGAUGCACUCAUCUAAACCUCUACAAGAUGGUGAUUGGAGAUUCCAAACGAGUAUCACAUAAAUUGGCGGAAGUUCACAAAGCAUCAACAUUCUUAGUUGACAUAACAAAUCACUCCAAACUUUUCUUUGAGUAGACAGACUAAUGCAAUAUAUAUGAAAUUAAGAUCCACCAGACAACAACGAAAAUAGAAGUCCCUCGUUUAAUCAAAAGCAAGUGGUCUCAUCAGAAAUGAAAAUACAUCUGAAUAGAUGUGCGCACUGAAAAACACUUUCGCUAAUCACAUGUCCAAUUCUAAUCAUACAGAAAAGCUGGUAGAAACUCAAUGUUGAAAUCAAUUCUUCCUCAUAAUCCUUGCAUCACGAAUGACAAGUAUCAUUAAGCAGUCAAUUCACACACUACAUAAUUCAUAAUUGAUGAUCCAAUUGAGCACCAUUCUCUACCAUAUGAUAAAUAUAAGAUGCAACAGAGCAAAAGAAUAACCCCCAAAUAAAAAAGAACCGAAUUCUAGUAUAAUAGCUACUCACUGAGCAGAUUCAGACAACUUUCCCUGGUUCCGACAGUCCAAUAUCGCCCAAAUCAGCUGUUUGUUUUCCUCCAAAUACUGCAUGAUAAGAGGAAAGCAAUCACCACAAUUUUCUUUUUCCUUUUUUUUCCCUUGGCUAGAGUAAAGAAGCAAAAUAUGGAAACAAAUGCUACGAAUAAUCGACCCUGAUUAACUACAAGAGAAAGUACAUAUUCAAAGACAUUUUGUAGAUAAAAGAUCCUUGAAUUUCGCCAGAUACGAAAUUGUAGCUUAGCAUAAUAGGAACUAGAAUUCACACUAACUAAUCAAAUUUAAUAGUCUACGAAGGGUAAUUCAACCCCCAAUCUACAAAGGGUAAUUCAACCCCCAACCUAAUUCACGUGAAUUCAUUGAUUUGGAAAUCCAUUCCAAUUCUAUUUCAAUUUGGUACGAAACAGAGUGUAGUAACCUUAUAAUGCGUCCUAUACAUUCUAAUGCUUUCAUAUUAAAAUUAACACGCGCUUCAUAAUCAUAUAAUUUAUACAUUGUUUCUACUAAUCGGUAGUCAUAAACCCUAAUUAUUUCAAAAGAACACACAAUUGAGGUCGUAAAUCAUUACUAAAAGAUUACACACAGAUGAUGGUGAUGCUCAUGCUGGUCACAUCAAAACUAUAUCCGUGCCGACAACAAUUAAAUCCAUGUAAAACCGAGCUAAAACCUCUACAAUCCACUUCAGUGUAAACUAAAGCUACAAAACAAACAAAUUUGAUUAUAAAAAAAAAAAAAACACAAACCAAUCGAUCGAUUGCGCGAUUAUAUACCGAUUAGGUUUCGGGAAAAGUGAGUGCGAUUCACUGUGGAAAGAUCGAAUUCGAGAGGAACCCUAGGCGGGAAUUAAGGAGAUGAGGACGAGUUUGCAUUUUGAAUCACCUUUUGAAUCUGAUCGGUGGUGAUGUUCAUCGUCGGACGCUGCAUCUCUCUCUCUCUCUCUCUCUCUCUAUUUCUCUCUCUUUGUUGGAGUGAAAAAGUAGCAGGGCAAAAAUUAAGAACAAAAGGGAGGGAAACGGCGCGUUCAGAGGGCACAGAUUUUCGCCGUGGACCUGGUCUACCACGUCAACUAUCUACUUCAUCAGUGGCAUUUUUUUUUUUUUUGUCAAAGGAAAAAUAAUGAUAUUUUCCACUUUAUCUUUCUAUGCGAUCUAAUAACUAUAUAGUAUUUAUAUUUUUAAAUUUUCGUUUGAGGUGAGAGUCGAAUCCGGACCGCACUCGUAGUCCAUUUUAAGUGAGUAUCGAAUUCAUAGCAUCUACGCAGGUGUGGAGUAUACCUAUCAACUAUCCAUCACAUUUUCACUUUCUAGUGUUUUUUCUUUUUUGAGAGAUAGGUAGCACGCUACUCUUUUCGUUUAUUUCACUUAGAAAUAAACUUAGCUGAAAAUGUAAAUCAACUAGGAUUCGAACUUGGGUCUCGGGUACCAACCACCAAGCCCUUUGCCACUUGCUCUAGGGACGGUCUAUCAUUUUCUAGUGUUACACUAUCUAACUUAAUACAUUUAUAAUAUUUUUUACAAAAUAAUUUCAAUAAAAUUAUAAGAUUAUUAUAUAAUAAAAUUAAAAGUAUAUUAAAAUUCGGGUGGCUAUACAUAUUUUUUCCCUACGAGGCCCAAGUCCAACAAGAUAUAGAAAAAAUAAAAGCCCAAAUCGAUAACGAACACAUGGGGAGAGCUAUGGGAAAUGGAAAUGUUGGCUCGGCCUAAUAAUAUUGGCCCAUUUGUGUGGUAAGAACUGUGAUCUCAUUGGCUGGCUCGACCUGGUUCACUGGACCGAGCCAAUCAGAAUGUAACACGCAGUAGUAACGUACUCAUGCGAUGAUUUUUAUUAAUAUUUUCACUUUUUAAAAUUUUAUAUUUGGAAAAUUAAUUGCAAGCACCAUUGGAUUAUAUCCGUUAUUUUAUUUGAAAAUUUCAAAGUAUUAAUUGGAAUGAAUGAUGUGCAUUUUGGAAAAGGUAUAAGAAGUAAACACCAAAGCAUUUUGAUUGUGAAAAUAAAGAAAACCUUGCAACUAAAUAGAAUAUUUAAACAAUAAGGUGACGAAUGCUGAAAAUAGGUUGCAAAAUUACUGGAUAAAAUUUACACUGCACGGCCGCGUAGCCUAUUCGGGAAACUAUUUUAACCUAAAUUACCGAACCGAAUUGGCUCAUUUCAUUUGGAUUCAUUACGGUUCUAUAAACAAUUUGGUUCAGAUCGAAUUGCCUUUGAAAUUAAGAAGUUUUAAAAAAUUGUACAAACUGAAUUAACCAAAAUUUUUUUAAUAGUUUAUUAUAUAUCAGUCCUAAUAUUUUGAAAAAAAAAAAAUAUUAAUCACUUCAACACAAUCAAAUACUUAGAGACUUUAACUCUUAUUAUGUUCAAUUUAAAGAUUUUGGUAGAAAAUUAAUCCUACCUAUAAACCUAUAUCUUACUUUUAGUAAUUUAAUAAAUUUUAAUAUAGAUCGAUUAUAUUUAUAAUAAAAAAAAAUACUGUGAAAAUUAAAUCGACCGAACCGAACAGAACCCGGUGACCGCGUGCGCUGCGCGGCUACUGCCACGGCCUAACUAAUUCUCGACCCUAUUUAAACAAGAGAUUCACACAAACGACCCACCACGACCACUUAUAACUUAUAACCACCUCAAAACCCUCCCCUCCCCUCCUUUCCUCAGAAUAAGGAGAAGCAGUAAAAAAAAUUAAUUAAUUAAUUAAUUAUUUCCUAUUCUUUUCAUAUCUCUCUACAUUUUAUUCGGUUACAUUAUCAUUCCCACGCUCUCGAGGUAGAGGUAGAGAGGGAAGAGCACACACGCACGCGCCGCGCCCUCCCUCCGCCUCGACCGCCACGAUGUCGUCCGCCAUCGACGACGGCAUCGAGGUCAACCGGAAGCCGGGGAGGAAGAACCUCGUGAUCGCCGGCUCCUCGGCCGCAGUUCUCAUGCUCCUCGUCGUCGGCACCGUCGCCACCGUUCUGAACCAGUCCGCCGAAGAGUCCGGCGGCGUCUCCGCCCGGUCGAUGCACUCGACGUCCAAGUCCGUCCAGAUGAUCUGCGCCUCCACCGACUACCGCCAGACGUGCGAGUCCAGUCUGUCGAAGGCCGUCAACUCCAGCAGCGACAACGACCCGAAGGCGAUCCUCCACGCGGCCGUCUCCGUCGUCGUCGACGAGGUCGGGAAGGCCUUCGCCCACUCCCGCCUUCUCGACAGCAACAACAGCCGCGUCAAGUCGGCCGUCCAGGACUGCCUGACGCUCUUCGACGACUGCAAGUACGACCUGAAGCGGUCGCUGGAGAGCAUCAUCGCGCACGCCGCCACCGACCACCUGUCGAAGCGGUCGCACGACCUCGAGACGUGGCUCAGCGCCGUGAUCUCGUUCGAGGAGGCGUGCGUCGACGGGUUCCCGGAGGGGGAGCUGAAGGCGAAGAUGAAGGCGGCGAUGAAGAAGGCCAGGGAGCUGUCAAGCAACGCGGUCGCCAUCAUCGGGCAGGUGUCGAGCUUCCUGUCCAUGCUCGACAUCCCCGGGCUGAGCGGCCGCCGCCGCCGCCUUUUGACGGCGCAGAAGGAGCCCGCGCUUGCAGCGGCCGCAGCAGGUCUUAAGGAGGACGGGCUCCCGCAAUGGAUGUCGAGCACCGAACGGAGGGUUCUCAAAUCGCACCAUAAGCUCAAGGUCAAGCCGAAUGCCACGGUCGCGAAAGACGGCACCGGCGACUUCGCCACCAUUUCCGCGGCUUUGGACGCGAUGCCGAGCGAAUACAAAGGAAGGUCGGUACAUGCAUGCAAUAUUGUUAAUUAAGCUAGCUGAUUAAUUUAUAUAUGCACGAUUACAUGUUUGGGAUUAAUACAUGUAACAGGUACGUGAUCUACGUGAAAGAGGGGAUAUACGAGGAGACCGUCAAUGUGACGAAGAAGAUGGCUAAUGUGACCAUGUAUGGGGAUGGCUCGAAAAAGUCGAUCAUAACGGGAAGCAAGAACUUCGUGGACGGCACCAGAACCUGGCAAACCGCAACAUUCUGUGAGCGCAUAUAAUUGACUAAAACUGAAUUUUGUUCACUUUUCGCUUGAUUUAGUAUCUGAUCCUCGGUGCUUUAUGCACGCCGCAUGCAGCCGUCUCCGGCGACGGCUUCAUCGCGAUCCGGCUCGGGUUCCGCAACACGGCGGGCGCGGUCAAGCACCAGGCGGUGGCGCUACGCGUGAAGGCGGACCGCAGCAUCUUCCUCAACUGCCGGAUGGAGGGCUACCAGGACACGCUCUACGCGCAGGCCUACCGGCAGUUCUAUCGGGGCUGCGUCAUCUCGGGCACGGUCGACUUCAUCUUCGGUGACGCCUCGGCUGUGUUCCAGAACUGCAUCAUCGUCGUCCGCCGCCCCCUCGACAACCAGCAGAACAUCGUGACCGCCCACGGCCGCGUCGACCGGCAGCAGAAGACGGGCUUCGUCAUCCAGCGCUGCCGCAUACUCCCCGAGCAGGGCCUGACGGAGGCGGCGGCACACAAGGCCAACGUGCGCAGCUACCUCGGCCGGCCGUGGAAGGAGUUUGCGAGGACGGUCGUGAUGGAGUCGCACAUCGGCGGCUUCAUCCACCCGGACGGCUACAUGCCGUGGGAGGGCGAAUUCGCGCUGUCGACGUUGUAUUACGCCGAGUACAAUAACUUCGGCGGCGGAUCGAACGUGUCGACGCGCGUCCCGUGGCCGGGGUUCCACGUCAUAAGCCGGAGAGAGGCCGAGCGCUUCACCGUCGGCAACUUCCUCUAUGGCGCCGAUUGGAUUCCGGCCACCGGCGCGCCGUUUCGCCUCGGCAUGUACACGCGCGAAUGAGAGCACUUCAAUUUUUUUGUCUAGAGAGUAAAUUGACAAGGGAGGAAUAAAAGGGCGGGAGUUCUCGUUUAUAAAAUGGAUAUAUAUAUAUAUUUAUAUAUGUGCGUGUGUGUGUGUGUGUUAAAGGAGGGCGUAAUAGAUUUUUGUUUUGAUAGCAAUUAAGAAAAAAUGAAAAGAAAAAAAGAUUGUUUUCCUUUUCUUUUGCCUUAAAAUUCCUGAUUUAAUUUAUCAUACUCAAUGUUAAUUACACUCCUGAAAAGCUUUUAAAUCUCUUAGACCAUGAUUAUCAGUGACAAUUCUUAAAUCUCCUAGACCAAGCAAGCAGCUGAGUUUCAAUAGGGUUAUAAAACCUUGUCUCUUGUAUUUACUAAUAGAGGUCAAAUCAUUUAUUAUUUAUUAAUAAAGCUUCAUAAUUUGAUUUUACACAUUAUAAGAGUAAUUAAUGCUGUUAGUAUGGUAAAGUUAUAUUCAAACAUGUCAUCAGUUAGCUAUCAAAUUCGAAUACCUGAACCACUAAUUAUUAUCGGCUGGUAGGCUAGUAUUCUGUAUAUGUGACGGAAAUCGUAUUAGAUCAAAUCACAAUCAAGAUUCGAGUGCUUUGUACAUACCUAUGUGCUUUAAAUGAAUUGGUUGGUUCCUUCCUAAUAGCUCGGGCUUUUGAAACUAAUUUUCAAGAAUAACUCAACAAGUGGUAUCAAAGCGGGCCAUGGGUUUAAUUGUCAGGUGACGCAACUUGUGCAGGGUACUGAAAGGAUUGUUGGCAAGUAGACGAGCAGCCUAUUGAGAUCCGUCAGCACUGUAUCUAAAGACUUUAAAUGAAUUGGUUUCAUACUUUCUAAUAGCUUGUGUUUUUGAAAUUAUGGUUAAUUAGCCCCAAUAAUCGAACACUAAUAUUAUGUCAUAUUGUGAAAAACUAAACUCAUCUUAAUCAAUGAUUUUUGGGCACGUGCUCACGUAACCAUAGCUUUACUCCAUAUAAUAAAUUACUGAUUAAUAAGAGUUAAACUUUUUGUUUGUUUCAUGCCUCAUUAACACCCUACUUGUGCUCAUCAUGUUAACCAACCUCCUUGGUUCUUUUAAUGCAAAUAGUACUUGCACUAGCUUUUCUUGUUAUUAGAAACAUAGUACACACACUCCUCACACUCAAUUUGUUAAAAGUAUGAAAAAUCUUCUCCAAGAUAUCUCGAAGCUUCGAAUCUUCUUUUUUUUGCAUGAAACCAUUGAUUGCUUCAUCAACUUCCACACAUAGUUAACCUAUAAAACAAAUUAACUAUUAAGUUUAAGAAAAAAAAUUAUUCCAAAUAAAGAGUUUAAAGCAAAUGAAAUUUAAAAUGUUCUUUAAUUCAUCAAAUCCGAGCUCAUGAACAAAGGUUACUGGCUCACGAAAAACCAGUCAAAAGGAGGCUAUGUUAUUUGCGUGAUCUAGGUAAUUAUAUCAACACAUGGAAAGUUAUAUGAGUUGUUAAAAUGAUAAGUAAUUUUUGACUGUGAACAGUAGUUUCAUGUGUGAAUUAACAUUUAAUUAUGAAUCUAUACAGGUUUUAGCAUCACCAACAAGCUAAAUCAUGAGUUUUAAGCUUCAAAGGGUCAUCUUGUCGACUUGUUUUGUCGCUUACCUUAAUGAGACAAAUGGCGCCAUAAGACUAGCUAAGUGUGCGUUUGUCCUAAAUGUUGAAAUAGUUUUUCUAUACGCCACUCUCGUGUUUGGCAAACAAAAUUUCAGUAUUACUGGUACGAAGAUUCAUUUCAACAUUCCCACAAAACUGAUUUGUUUGCUACAAUUAGUAAAUUUUUAUUUAAAAGAGAGAAACUAUAUUUUUAUUGAACAACUCGAAUCAUAGAGGAAGUUUUUUUUUUUAGAGAGAGAUAGGUAGCAUGCUACUCGCUUCGUUUAUUUAUUUUAAAAUUAAACUUAGCUGGAAAUGUGAAUCAAUUAGGAUUCAAACUUGGAAUCUCGAAUACCAACAACCAAAUCCUUUGCCACUUUCACCGGGAGCAGUUGUUAUCAUACAAGAAGUAAUUAAUUGAAUAUUCUUAUAUAUCUAUCACUAAACCAAUGAAAUGCUUAGUGGUCAAAGACUCAAAGCCACUAUCCCCAAAGGAGAGGAUAAUGCUAAUCUUUUUGAAGUCAACAAGUUCUAAUUAACACAGUGGCUAUGAGCUAAGAUUAGGGGGAACAUUGUAGAUUACUUAAAGAUGAAAAACCAUAACAGAAUCUCUAUGGGGCACAGCAGUAGAUAUGAGCUUUAAGUAGCUUUAAAGGACUCUUAUUUGCACUUCUUAAAAGCCCUUUUUUCCCACAGCAAAAGCAAGCAACAUUAGUGGCCACUGCCUCUAAUGGACAACAGUGCAGUUGUGCCACAGAACAAGCUGAGCUAUUUGCUGCUGCUUUUCUCAGAAGCAGAUCUACUCACUCCUGACUCACCAAAGUCCCCCAAAACUACCAGAAGCAACCAUAGAAGAGAUCCCCACAUUGAUUCUAAUGGCUAUGACUUUAAAGAAGCUCUGUCCUUGUUAGUGCUUCAGUGGAAGCCAUGUACUCUCCUCCCAAAGCAAAGUGCCUGCUUUUUUAUCCAGCUGAGCAAGCAAAAGAUUCACUGGAACAGGAAACCCAAAAAAGAAAAAAAAAAAAAGAAAAGAAAAGAAGAGAUUUUAAGCUCAUUCUACUUCAGAAAAUACACCCAAUUCUCCAAAUUUUUUUAUCUGAACAAUACACACAGUAGUUGUUGUUCGAAUUGCUGUCUUAAAAAGGUUGAAAAUUUGAUCUUCGCUUAAAUUAAAGAUCACUAAAUUGCAGCAGCAAAGAAGAAGAAUUUUUUUUAAAGAUGCUCAGCAACAAAUGAAGGAUUUACCAUUCGAAAUCAAACCAGAACAAAUCAAAAGAUACAACUUUUGAACAAAGAUUUUUUAAAUCAAACUCUACACAAUCGAAACAACUCAAACAACAGCUUCCAAUCUGGGCUCAAAAGGGAACGCACAAACGAACUCCUUCGCCUCCCCAUCGACGCGACACUUGGGUAUCUCCACCCACUGAUCCCUCCCCAGAUCAUAGACCACACAGCUGCUAAAAUCCCCCGAGUUUAAGCAUGUAAAAAUCCAAUCUUUGAAGCCCACACAGUUUAUAUCCACUUUUUUACCGAAAAAUUCGUGGGACAUCGAGGGGGGCAUCGCCGCCACCUGGUGCCACGUCAUCGUCUCCCUCGCGAACCUCCACACGCGCAAGCUCGCGGUCUCGAGGAACUCGGAGAGCACAAUUGCGCAGAGCUCCCCCCGGAACAGGGCGAUGUCGAUGGAGUACUCGUAGUACGCGGGGAGGAGGCGCGGGUGCUCGAAAAAGGACCUUUUUGUGAGAUUGCACCCCACCACGGUCCCCGAGUGGCUGAGGAAGUACACGACGUCGUCCCCGUUCUCGGUGGCGAAAACGGAGGAGUACUGCUUGCAGGGGCUUCGCUGCAUAUUGGCCGCGACCACGUCCCCUGUUUUGGAGAGGAAGUAAACGGGCUCGUCCCCGGGGACCUGGGGCUCGGAGGAGCCCGUGGGUUUGUGGGGGGAUAAGGGGAUCUCCUCGCCCCAGGCGUCGGUUUGGGAGUCGAAAACCCUAGAGGCGAGGUGGGGGGAGGCGCCGUAGACGAGGACGAGGUGGUACGAGGAAGGGUCGUGGGGGGAGGAGGGCGAGGCCAUGGCGAUGGCGAGGAGGUCGGGGGGGUCGAAAGGUGGGAUUUUGCGGGAGGAUCCGGUGACGGGGUUGGAGACGGUGAGUUCUCCGGAGGAGGGGGAGCGGAGGCAAACGAAGCCGCGGGAGGAGGCGACGGGGAUGGAAGGUGGUGGUGGGGAGGAGGGUUCAUGGCGCGUGGGGGGGGGAGAGCGGGAGGAGGACGGAGGACCAAUAGCCAGGCAGGAGGAGUCGAGGAAGAGGGAGCGUGGGAGCGGGUGGAUUGAAGAGAGAAGAGGGCCGAGGGGACUGCGGAGCAGCGAGAGAAGAAGGAGGAGCAAGCGAAGAGCAAAGGAGCGCCAAACCGCUUGGAGACCGCGGGCCGGAGGGAAGAAGGCGGAGGGAGAGCGCGCCAAGCAACCACUCGACACGAAAGAAAAAAUGGAUCGCGCCAGAGCAUCUGUGCCAUCAUCAGAAGCUAGCUAGACUAGAAGACAUGGAUAUAAAGGUAGAUAAUCCUCUUCUAACCACGACGGGUGCGUUCCUGUUUUGAGUACCAAUCUCCCACUUUCUCUUUUGUCUUUUGUUUCUGUUUCGUUUCUUUGGAUGGAAAAGAGAGAGGAGAGAGGAGAGAGGAGAACCAGUUAAAAAUUCAAGGAAUUUGAGAAAUUAGUGAUUGGUGGUGGUGUGCAACUGUGCAAAUUUGUGUGUAUAUAUAUAUAUAUAUAUAAUAAUCAGGGGAGAUGAUCACUGGGGAGAGGGAAUUGGAUAUGGUGCGCGAAAACUAAAGCAGUUUUUUUUGGUUUUUUUUUUUUAAAAAAAAGGAAUUGUUUUGUGCAAAAGAACAGUUCUCAGAGAAGCACUUUGAUGUGAGAAGAGAUUGUGAAAGGAAGUGCUUUUUCAGAACAAUUAGCAGCAUCUAUAGUUUCUUGGGAAAUUUCUAAGAAACGAAGCCAAAAAAAAAAAGUCACCCAUCUUCUAGGCCAAAACCCACUAAUUCCGACCAAAACAGAAGAGUUUCAUGCUACGAAAAAAAAAAAAAAAAAAUCAACUUUUUUCUGCUAAAAUCAUACAGGGUGAGAAAUCAGAAUCAGAAACAAAUUGACCAAAAAAAGGACUCCUUUUUAACCGAGAAAAAAACCACUUUUAUUACAUAAAUUUCCCAUUUUUCCCACCCCACAUAACCCAUCAAGCCAAAAUCCACCCAAAAAGAAAGAAAAAGAACAAAACCCCAGAAACAAAACAUACAACAAAAGGCCCUUAAAAGCUCCCACCGUAUAUACGAGCAGAGAGGGGAGGAGGGGAGAGGAGAGAAAUGCACCUUAUUAUGUGUUGGAUCCUCUGCAGCUCACAAGUGGUGGCAACGAAGAGGAACAAAGUAAAGUGCGCGCGCGUUGGGAACUCUCCCACUCCCUUCUUUUGUAAUGGUGAGAAGAAGAAGAAGAAGAAGAAGAAGAAAAAGAAGAAGAGGUAGAGAGAGAGAAAGAGAGAGAGAGAGAGAGAGAGGAAACUUCGUGGGGGAGCUCUUUUUGUAUGCGUUGACAGAGAGGAGAGGAGAGGAGAGGAGAGGAGAGCAGUGGGGGCUUGUGUUGUGUGAGUGUGUGGGGGUGUGAGGGAAAAGAUAGUUUAUAUAUAGAGGGGAUAGAGAGAGAGAGGAGCCCAAAAUUUAAAGAGAGAGAGAGAUGUAUAUAGUAAGGUUAAUUGCAUGGAUAUUUUCAUAAACGUAUAGAAUAGUAAAAAUAUUUUAACAAAAUUUAACUUUUUAUAUUUAUUUUUUAAAAAAUUUUAAUAUUUUAAAAAUAUAUUUGUGCUGAUAGGAUCCGUUAGAAAAAUACAUUAAUCAUAGAUAAAUUACUUUAACUCUCAUCAAUAAAUGAGAUAAAUUGAUCGUUUUACUCUUCUUAUAUUAUUUGUAAUGUUAAAAAAGAAAAAGAGAUGUAUAUAGUAAGGUUAAUUGCAUGGAUAUUUUCAUAAACGUUUCGAAUAGUAAAAAUAUUUUAACAAAAUUUAAUUUUUUAUAUUUAUUUUUCUAAAAAUUUUAAUAUUUUAAAAUAUAUUUUUACUAGUAGGAUCCAUUAGAAAAAUACAAUUAAUCAUAGGAGAUAAAUUGAUCUUUUUACUUUUCUUAUAUUAUUUGUGAUGUUAAAAAAGAAAAAAAUGACCGUUCAAAAUUUGUUAAAGAAUAUUUUUGUAUAAUUCUAAUAAUUGGAAAUUUUGAAGAAACAUAUUUGUAAUGACAAAAAUAUUAUUUUACUUAUCUUUUGCUAACGGUAACAAAUUAUAGAGGCAAAUAUGAAUAUUAUUAGAUUUUUAUAAGAAUAAAUAUGAAAAAUUAAACUUUGUAGGAAUAUAUUUAUUAUUUAAUAUAUUUACAAUAAGAAGUAUGUAUAAAAUUAAUUCUCUAUAGUAAUAAGAUAAUAAUAAAAUAACAUAAAAAUUUAUCUAAACUAUAAACCAUUUUGAUUUAACUUUUUAUUUCUUAAUUUAUUUAACUUGGUGAGUUAAUUACACUCUCGCUUCAAAAUUAAAAUUAUUUAUUUAUUUUUAAAAAUUUAUAUUUGUGAGAAUUAUGUUAAAUAUAUUAAUUAAAUUUAUAAAAAUAAAUAAUAUAUAAUUUUUUAAAAAAAUAUAAUUGACUAAUUCAAAUCAAAUGAAGUACAAUAAUAUAUAUAGUAAAAUUAAAAUUUUUUAAAAAAGGGCCAAUUCAAAAUGAUUAAUGCUUCUGAUAAGUUUGCCACCUAUUUUUCUACUAGAAAUAACAGUAGAGAGAUGUGCAGUGGCUUAGAGAGAGAGAGAGAGAGAGAGAGGGCUAGGGCUUAGAGAGAGAGAGGGCCAUGUGACUAGCUGCUGACACUGAUAUUUUUUUAAUAAAAUUCAAUAGUUAGAUCAUAUUUUUCUUCAACUUUUUAAAUUGUUAUGGUUUUAUAUUUCAAACUUUUAUGAUUAUAAUAAUUAAGUUUUUUAGUUUAAAUUUAGUCAAUUAUAUAAUAAUGUGUCGCUGAUAUAAUAGUAAUAUACCUGAUUGAUGAUAAUAUUACACUAAUUAAGAUAUUACACUAGUUUUGUAUUAAUGACAUAUUAGUAAUCGAUUAGCAAAAUUAGAUUGUAAAACUUAUUUAAAAUAACUUAAAAAGUUUGAGGAUUAAAAUAUCCGUCACUAACUCAUAGUUUGAGAACCAGAAGUUAAAUUUAGUCUAAUUUAAAUUUAAUAGUAAGAGACAGAGGAGAGUGUUAAGUUUCAUUGAAUAAAGUUGAUAAACAACUAUUAAUAGCUUUUUAAAUUAAAUCUUUCUAUAAAAUUGUAAGUUUAACUUUAUAUUUGAAGUGAGAAUCUAGAUCAAACAAAGUAUGUAAUUUAUUCCAAUAAAUAUUUUUUAAAAAUCUGUUAGUAUUUAAAAUAUCCGUAUAACACUAACGGCUUUGGAUUCAAACUUGUAAACAUUUUUUUCAAUUAAAAAAAAAAUGUAUAUGUGAGCUUGGUACAUUUUUAACUUAGUUUGGUACCUUAUAUUAAAAAUAACAACAUUUCACACCAUCUAUGAAAAACCUUUUUUUUAUUUUUUUUAAAAAAAGUUCUCGUAAGUGUUCACUUUGUAGGCCACUCGCACGCGGGGGCAUUACACGUGCGAGGUGCCCAAAGCUAAAGCAUAAGCUUCCCCCCACUUUUUUUUCUUUUCUUUUUUUUUAUUUUUGGGGAAAUGAGAACCCAAAUGUUUGUAGGGGAUAUGUUAAUUGUAGUGUAGCUUUUAAAAUGGAGGGAGAGGAACAAAGGAAUAAUCCCAAGCACACUAGCAAGUAAACAACUAAAUACGAAGGUUUGACCUUGAUGAAGGGAAUCACAACACGAAUUACGAGGACAAUAAUUUUUUUUUAUUUUUUAUUUUUUAAAGUUAUGAGCAUGCACAUGAAUGGGACCAAACCAAACCAAACCAAACCAAACCAAAUAUUUUUAAAAUUAAUAAUUUAAUGCAUCCUCCCCUCUAACUUUUGCUUUUAGACCCGAACCUGAACAUGGUUUUGUAGAUCUAGGAUAGAAUGUUAUGAAAUGCUCCCCCAAUUAAUCCUGGUGUUGUGGUGGGCAUUCACUUGGUAAGUAUCCAUAUGUUUUGUUACUUAAAAAAUAUAUAUAUAGAGAGAGAGUACGUCUCCCGUAUUUUAAAAGUACGGAGGUCUUCGUGCUCGUAAGUUAUUUUUUUUAUCGAAUAUUUGAUUCGACGAUCGGUUCCGUUAAGCAUAAUCUCGAUCGACUCCGUUAAACAUAAUCUAUGUUAUUGAAACUAUCUAAAAACUAAAUUUUAUAAUUUUUCGAUAUCAUUUACCAAGCGAUCAUAGGAUCUCAAAAAUAAUUAUUUUAAUGACCGAUGUAGCAUGUUUUUAAAUUCAAUUGGGUAGAAGUAUCCAAAUUACAUGAAAAUUUAAUAGAAAAUUUUACUAAACAUCAAGAGUAAGAAUAAUAGUUUCAAUUUGAAAUUUGAGUCUUUUAUCACUAUUUUUUAUGAGCUUUUUAUUUUCAACCGUUCAUUUUGAGGCUACUCGUUUACUAGGCAAAUAAUGUCAAAAAAUUAUGAAAUUUGAUUUCUAAAUAGUUACAAUAGCAUACAUCAUAUCUAACAGAACCAAUCGCCGAAUCGGAUGUCCUAUCAACAAAAACAACUUAUAAAUACGGAGGCCUCCGUACUUUCAAAAAUAUAGGAGCCUAG